This 468-nucleotide ribosomal RNA is filed under the name uncultured bacterium. RNAcentral describes it as "partial 16S ribosomal RNA". It matches the Rfam family "Bacterial small subunit ribosomal RNA", at positions 28 to 507 of the family's 1533-position model. The record is from RNAcentral.
GACGAACGCUGGCGGCGUGCUUAACACAUGCAAGUCGAACGGAAAGGCCCUGCUUUUGUGGGGUGCUCGAGUGGCGAACGGGUGAGUAACACGUGAGUAACCUGCCCUUGACUUUGGGAUAACUUCAGGAAACUGGGGCUAAUACCGGAUAGGAGCUCCUGCUGCAUGGUGGGGGUUGGAAAGUUUCGGCGGUUGGGGAUGGACUCGCGGCUUAUCAGCUUGUUGGUGGGGUAGUGGCUUACCAAGGCUUUGACGGGUAGCCGGCCUGAGAGGGCGACCGGCCACAUUGGGACUGAGAUACGGCCCAGACUCCUACGGGAGGCAGCAGUGGGGAAUAUUGCACAAUGGGCGGAAGCCUGAUGCAGCAACGCCGCGUGCGGGAUGACGGCCUUCGGGUUGUAAACCGCUUUCGCCUGUGACGAAGCGUGAGUGGCGGUAAUGGGUAAAGAAGCACCGGCUAACUACGUG